RNAcentral lists this ribosomal RNA (2930 nucleotides) under Escherichia coli. Its description in RNAcentral is "23S ribosomal RNA". It matches the Rfam family "Bacterial large subunit ribosomal RNA". The record is from RNAcentral. Lineage: Bacteria; Pseudomonadati; Pseudomonadota; Gammaproteobacteria; Enterobacterales; Enterobacteriaceae.
GGGUUGUGAGGUUAAGCGACUAAGCGUACACGGUGGAUGCCCUGGCAGUCAGAGGCGAUGAAGGACGUGCUAAUCUGCGAUAAGCGUCGGUAAGGUGAUAUGAACCGUUAUAACCGGCGAUUUCCGAAUGGGGAAACCCAGUGUGUUUCGACACACUAUCAUUAACUGAAUCCAUAGGUUAAUGAGGCGAACCGGGGGAACUGAAACAUCUAAGUACCCCGAGGAAAAGAAAUCAACCGAGAUUCCCCCAGUAGCGGCGAGCGAACGGGGAGCAGCCCAGAGCCUGAAUCAGUGUGUGUGUUAGUGGAAGCGUCUGGAAAGGCGUGCGAUACAGGGUGACAGCCCCGUACACAAAAAUGCACAUGCUGUGAGCUCGAUGAGUAGGGCGGGACACGUGGUAUCCUGUCUGAAUAUGGGGGGACCAUCCUCCAAGGCUAAAUACUCCUGACUGACCGAUAGUGAACCAGUACCGUGAGGGAAAGGCGAAAAGAACCCCGGCGAGGGGAGUGAAAAAGAACCUGAAACCGUGUACGUACAAGCAGUGGGAGCACGCUUAGGCGUGUGACUGCGUACCUUUUGUAUAAUGGGUCAGCGACUUAUAUUCUGUAGCAAGGUUAACCGAAUAGGGGAGCCGAAGGGAAACCGAGUCUUAACUGGGCGUUAAGUUGCAGGGUAUAGACCCGAAACCCGGUGAUCUAGCCAUGGGCAGGUUGAAGGUUGGGUAACACUAACUGGAGGACCGAACCGACUAAUGUUGAAAAAUUAGCGGAUGACUUGUGGCUGGGGGUGAAAGGCCAAUCAAACCGGGAGAUAGCUGGUUCUCCCCGAAAGCUAUUUAGGUAGCGCCUCGUGAAUUCAUCUCCGGGGGUAGAGCACUGUUUCGGCAAGGGGGUCAUCCCGACUUACCAACCCGAUGCAAACUGCGAAUACCGGAGAAUGUUAUCACGGGAGACACACGGCGGGUGCUAACGUCCGUCGUGAAGAGGGAAACAACCCAGACCGCCAGCUAAGGUCCCAAAGUCAUGGUUAAGUGGGAAACGAUGUGGGAAGGCCCAGACAGCCAGGAUGUUGGCUUAGAAGCAGCCAUCAUUUAAAGAAAGCGUAAUAGCUCACUGGUCGAGUCGGCCUGCGCGGAAGAUGUAACGGGGCUAAACCAUGCACCGAAGCUGCGGCAGCGACACUAUGUGUUGUUGGGUAGGGGAGCGUUCUGUAAGCCUGUGAAGGUGUACUGUGAGGUAUGCUGGAGGUAUCAGAAGUGCGAAUGCUGACAUAAGUAACGAUAAAGCGGGUGAAAAGCCCGCUCGCCGGAAGACCAAGGGUUCCUGUCCAACGUUAAUCGGGGCAGGGUGAGUCGACCCCUAAGGCGAGGCCGAAAGGCGUAGUCGAUGGGAAACAGGUUAAUAUUCCUGUACUUGGUGUUACUGCGAAGGGGGGACGGAGAAGGCUAUGUUGGCCGGGCGACGGUUGUCCCGGUUUAAGCGUGUAGGCUGGUUUUCCAGGCAAAUCCGGAAAACUAAGGCUGAGGCGUGAUGACGAGGCACUACGGUGCUGAAGCAACAAAUGCCCUGCUUCCAGGAAAAGCCUCUAAGCAUCAGGUAACAUCAAAUCGUACCCCAAACCGACACAGGUGGUCAGGUAGAGAAUACCAAGGCGCUUGAGAGAACUCGGGUGAAGGAACUAGGCAAAAUGGUGCCGUAACUUCGGGAGAAGGCACGCUGAUAUGUAGGUGAAGUCCCUCGCGGAUGGAGCUGAAAUCAGUCGAAGAUACCAGCUGGCUGCAACUGUUUAUUAAAAACACAGCACUGUGCAAACACGAAAGUGGACGUAUACGGUGUGACGCCUGCCCGGUGCCGGAAGGUUAAUUGAUGGGGUUAGCGCAAGCGAAGCUCUUGAUCGAAGCCCCGGUAAACGGCGGCCGUAACUAUAACGGUCCUAAGGUAGCGAAAUUCCUUGUCGGGUAAGUUCCGACCUGCACGAAUGGCGUAAUGAUGGCCAGGCUGUCUCCACCCGAGACUCAGUGAAAUUGAACUCGCUGUGAAGAUGCAGUGUACCCGCGGCAAGACGGAAAGACCCCGUGAACCUUUACUAUAGCUUGACACUGAACAUUGAGCCUUGAUGUGUAGGAUAGGUGGGAGGCUUGGAAGUGUGGACGCCAGUCUGCAUGGAGCCGACCUUGAAAUACCACCCUUUAAUGUUUGAUGUUCUAACGUUGACCCGUAAUCCGGGUUGCGGACAGUGUCUGGUGGGUAGUUUGACUGGGGCGGUCUCCUCCUAAAGAGUAACGGAGGAGCACGAAGGUUGGCUAAUCCUGGUCGGACAUCAGGAGGUUAGUGCAAUGGCAUAAGCCAGCUUGACUGCGAGCGUGACGGCGCGAGCAGGUGCGAAAGCAGGUCAUAGUGAUCCGGUGGUUCUGAAUGGAAGGGCCAUCGCUCAACGGAUAAAAGGUACUCCGGGGAUAACAGGCUGAUACCGCCCAAGAGUUCAUAUCGACGGCGGUGUUUGGCACCUCGAUGUCGGCUCAUCACAUCCUGGGGCUGAAGUAGGUCCCAAGGGUAUGGCUGUUCGCCAUUUAAAGUGGUACGCGAGCUGGGUUUAGAACGUCGUGAGACAGUUCGGUCCCUAUCUGCCGUGGGCGCUGGAGAACUGAGGGGGGCUGCUCCUAGUACGAGAGGACCGGAGUGGACGCAUCACUGGUGUUCGGGUUGUCAUGCCAAUGGCACUGCCCGGUAGCUAAAUGCGGAAGAGAUAAGUGCUGAAAGCAUCUAAGCACGAAACUUGCCCCGAGAUGAGUUCUCCCUGACUCCUUGAGAGUCCUGAAGGAACGUUGAAGACGACGACGUUGAUAGGCCGGGUGUGUAAGCGCAGCGAUGCGUUGAGCUAACCGGUACUAAUGAACCGUGAGGCUUAACCUUACAACGCCGAAGGUGUUU